UUUAAUUUAGGUAUAAUAGCCAUUCAAAGUGUGUUAUUAACUUAUUACAUAAGUAUAUGCGGUUAUUAAAAUACUUUGCAAUAAUUUAAAUAAGAGACUAAACUAAAAACAAACACUUGAACCCUAGAGUUUGGCUAAAACCAAACUGCAUAUAUGGGCAAGUAGUAACUUUUAUUUCAUUAAUUAUUUCCAUGCACAAAAUAUAAAACAAACCCUAAUGGAAUUUGUUUCAUCACAUGCAUGGUAUACUAACAUAGUUAGUUACAUUUUUUAUAACAGAAAUCAGUGAUAUCAGUGCAACUACACUUUGGUGGAAGAGACCUUGUGCAAAGGCAAGCUUUGCAAGCUGAGUGACAUGUUUCUCCAAUAUCAUUACAUUGACACUGAGGAGGGAUUGAUCUUGUGCAAAGGCAGGAAUCACAGCAUGCUUUGUUACUUGCAUCACCAUUGGAGAGCAGUUGAGUGAUGAAGGAAGUUGAACCGAAACGAGCAUCAACAACAGUUGCGGUGAAGCCCAAGAGGAAAAGCAUCAAAGCUAACUUCAUCAUUGCCUUCUUGUUCAUCAACACCAUUAUUACUAUUCUCUUUUUCUAUUAUGAUUCGUUUUUGUGUAUCUUUCUUUGCAGCUACAUAGGUCUAUUUAUAUAGAGUUUUUUUUUCUUUUCAUUAUUUCAUGUUUUUUCCUUCUAAGAAAUGCACUACUCAACGCGUGAUCCUCGUGUUGUACAUAGGAGUACUUAAUUUCUUUGUGAUGUUUUGUCGGUUUCCAUUUCCUUUCUUUUUUACUUUGAAAAUGAAAUUAUUAUGAUUUGACGUGAAGCCAAAUGGGUGUGAAAUUUUUGUUUUUGUUUCAAAAAGUGAUACAACUUCUCUAUUAAGUGUUGUCUGUCUAUACAUUAAUCACCAAACUUGGAAAUAUUUAUUGGCUCUCUGUCAAGUGGGGAAAGCAUUUGCUCACAUGAAAUUUUAUCUCCUCUCAUGUGAUUGAUCCAGACUCUCUUACAUUUAAAAUUAAAAUAUUUCAUAUUUUAUUUUUUAAAGGCUUUUAUUUCAAGUCAUCCUUCAUAAAAAUUCAAAUGAAAUUAAUUAAAUGAAACUAAUAUAGUUUAAAAAUAUAUUUGUAAUUCUAAAUAUAUUUGUAAAAUUUUAAUCUUUAUAAAUAUAUGUCAUCUUACUUAGGAUUUUUGCUUUUUUGUGUUAAUCCUUUUGCAAAAUGUUAUAUUAAAAUUAAUCUAUCUAUGUAUAAUAUAUUUUAUUUUAGUUUUUUCAAUAUUAAUAAUAUAAAUAUUAAAAUAAAUUGACUUGUGAAAACUUUUCAAAAAUGAGUUGAUGGCUUCCAACAAUUAUACUCUUUUUAUUCAAACCAUUGCACUAAUAAACAAAAUUUGUGCUUUAGUUAUAGUAAAUUUAAUUAUUAUUAUUAAGAGUGUUAUGUAUGGGAAUGAGAAUACAAAAACACUCUAAGUUAAGUUUAAAAAUUACAGCUUUGUUACUUAAGCCUAACACUUUUUCCAGCUUUGUUACUUAACCCUAACACUUUUUCCACUUUCUCUUUCUCUCCAUUCUCAUUUUAGAAAUUGAAUUUUCUUUUCUCUUUUGCUAUUGCUCUCUCCACCACCACUCCUCACUGCAGUCGCACACCAUUGUCAAUUCAUUUCAUUUGUCCUCACCCAUUGUUGUUGUGUAAUGUGAGCUUUUUGUUCUCAUUUUUUUUUAUGUUGAACAAUUUAAGUUUUCUGUCAUUUAUUAUUUGAGCAAUGUGUUAACGUGACUUUUCAGUUUUCUAUCCCAUUAACUUUGAGGAAUGGUAAUGAUGUUGAGCAUUGUUGCGCAAUGUUUGACAAUGUUGUUAAAGUAUAUAUUUUACUCUUUUUUGGUAAUUUUGAGCAAUGUUAAAGUGUAUUUUUUUUAAUAUUAAGUGAAAUUUUGGUAUCAGAUAUGAGACGUCGAAGGUAAUGUCACGACACUAAUAUCUGAAUCAUACAAACAGGAUAAAGAUAAAGAAUAGUAAUGCUAGAGACACAAGCAAUUGCUAACUCAGUUCGGUGCAACUCACCUACGUCCGGGGAAUACCAAGUCAGGAAGGAAAUCCACUAAAUAGAAUCAGUUCAAAGACUCUCAGUAAACUACACAAGUUACAGUCUUUUUCACCUAAUCUCUACCCGUAUGACUUCUACCUAAGAACUCUUAGAUAUGAGAUCCCAAAUCCACUAAAUAGAAUCAGUUCAAAGACUCUCAGUAAACUACACAAGUUACAGUCUUUUUCACCUAAUCUCUACCCGUAUGACUUCUACCUAAGAACUCUUAGAUAUGAGAUCCCAUCUCACUCCCCUUCAAUCACACCAGUGAUAUUAAACAAGAAUUACUUAUGAAAAGAAGACACUCUUCAAAGACACACACUUGAUCUUACUUAGCAGCUUCAAUCAAGUAGACACACACUCAUGCUUAAAAACUUAGAGUGACAAAUUGCAACUCAAAAAAUCAGAUCAAUUCAAUCAUCUAUGGAUGAAUUGAAUGGCUUACAAGUCACACGAUCACACAAGACUAAAACCCUUAUUCUCUCUCAAUAUUUCGCUCUGUAUUUCUUGUGUAUCAAAUCAGGUUUCCAUGUCCUUUUUAUAGAAGCAUUCAGCUGGGCUUGGACAUCAUAAAACCCUAAAACUAUUUUCCAUUCAAAUCUUCUUAUGACAGUUGGUUAGAUCUCGUUGGAAAAUAAGGUAAAUCACGUUGUAAUCAUUGAUUGAUUGCAUUUGCAAUUAACUUAUCAAUCAAACAUAGAUUGCCAUUAAAAGCGCAAUCACAUAACACAUAACAUUCAGACUGAAUGUUCUGUGUACAAAUGUCAUGACAUCGGGUCUGACAUCCUGGAACAAUUCUGCAUAAUUCCAUUUUAAAUAUCCAGCAGGUACAUUAUAUCAGAUGUCAUGACAUCGUGUAUGACAUCCUGAAACAAUCCUGCAUAAUUAUAUUUUUAAACCACCAGCAGGUACAAGAUAUCUUAUGUUAAGACAUCACAUGCAACAUCUUGUGAACAAAGAUGUCAUGACAUCGUGUAUGACAUCCUGAAACAAUCCUGCAUAAUUAUAUUUUUAAACCACCAGCAGGUACAAGAUAUCUUAUGUUAAGACAUCACAUGCAACAUCUUGUGAACACUCUUUGUUUGACCAAAAUUGCUGCUAACACUUAGAACCAACAUUAAGCAAUGUUUGGCAACGUUGUUAAACUUUUUUUUGUCUGUUUUUACAAUGUUGUUAAGUGUAUUUUUUAUUAAUGUUUGGCAAUGUUGUUAAGGUGUAUUUUUAUUUCUGUGUUUUAGCACCAAAUUGAUGAUGAAGAGUAGAAAAAUCUAUUCUUUUUUCAAGAGAAAAGAAAGAUAUGAAGAAAAUAUAACUUCUAUGUGUGAACCGCAAAGAUUUCUUGACAACCCAAGAAAUGAAGAAAAUGUAAAUAGAAAUUUUGCGGAUGCCAUUAGAAAUUCUUUAGAACGUGAUCUUGUCCUUCAAUAUGGGAAUAUCCAUUAAAUCAAAUGGAUGAAAUACGAAGAAUUUGUUUUAAAUAGGGUCCAUAUCAAAUUCAUUUAGAACAAUAUCAAUUGUCCAGUAAUGAAAGACCAUCAAAGACAGUUUCUACAUGUUUGGUUUAUCCUUUUUCCUUUAUGGUUAGAAUAUUCACCUUCAAAGGAUGUGACUUAUUGCUUACCAUGUUAUCUUUUUAGAAAAAAAACCAAGUGGACGUCCUAGUUCAGACGUCUUCAUUUUUUACAAGUUUUAAAGGUCGGAGGAAAGUUAGAAAUGGAAAGCAUAAACACAUAAGGAAAGAUGCUUGUUCACCACACAACAAUGCUCUGAAAGCUGGUCAAUAUUUGUUGAAUCAAGAUGGGCACAUUAGGAAUAUUAUUAAAUCUCAAAGUUCAAUUGAUAUUAUGAAGAUUCAACUAUGUCUCAAGACUUCAAUUGGCAUUGUUCGUUGGUUAACUUUUCAAGUUUGUACUUUUAAAGAUCGUAAUGAAAGUAAAGAAUCAUUAAACCAAGCCAAUUUUCUUGAAUUGAUUAAACUCUUAGCAGGUUACAGUGAUGAAGUUGCAAGAGUUGUUUUAAAAAAUGCUUCAUCAAAUAACAAGUAUACUUCACAUCAAAGUCACAAAGAGAUCUGUCACAUUCUUUCACGUGGGAUGAAAAAACAUACCGUGAAAAAAUUGGUGACUCCAAAUUUUAUAUAAUUGUAGAUGAAACUCAUGAUGAAUCUAAAAAUGAGAAAAUGUCUCUUAUUUUGAGAUUUGUUUAUAAAGAUGGUUUAUUACAAGAGAGAUAUUUUGACUUUGCACAUGUUAAUGAUGUUACUUAAAGUUAUUUUUUAAUUCAGUCCACGUUUUACUAAUAAAUUCCUAUUUUAUUGCCAUGCAGUACUGACUUUUGACUAAUUCCAUUUGUAAAUGCUAUAUAAGCCUGCUUUCAAUUUCUAAUAAAAAACACAGCUUUCCUCUCAACGUUUCUAUUAUUUCUAGUUCUUACAAUUGGUAUCAGAGCUCCACAAGGGGCCUGAUAUUGUUUGGGGAGUGAGUGUGUGAGAAGGGAAACACUAAGGGAGUAAAAGCGUGUGUGUGUGUGUGAGAAGAAACACCAAAGGAUCAACAUGUCUACAUCUGAAAAGAUCGUACAACCAGUCAUUCCAAGGUUCGAUGGUCAUUAUGAUUUUUGGGUAAUGACGAUGGAGAAUUUUCUACGAAGUAAAGAGAUGUGGAACCUCGUAGAAGAAGGAGUCCCAACACCGGAAAUUGGAAAUCAACAAGUGAAGCGCAAAGAAAGAGUGUGGAAGAGGCCAAGCUUAAAGAUCUGAAGGUCAAAAUCUAUCUGUUUCAAGCUAUUGACAGAGAAAUUCUUGACAAGGGAACUUCAAAGGCAAUAUGGAGGUCCAUGCAACAGAAGUAUCAAGGAUCCAAAAAGGUGAAAAGAGCACAACUUCAAGCGUUGAGAAGAGAAUUCGAGUUAUUGACCAUGAAAGAAGGCGAGAAGGUCGAUAGCUUCUUGGGACGGACUCUCAAUGUGGUAAACAAGAUGAAAUCAAAUGGUGAAGCAAUGGAGCAAAGUACGGUGAUGAGCAAGAUACUCAGAUCUUUGACCUCUAAAUUCAAUUAUAUUGUGUGCUCAAUAGAGGAAUCAAAUGAUUUGAGUAUCUUGAGUAUUGAUGAACUGCAUGGCAGCCUCCUUGUUCAUGAGCAAAGAAUGCAGGGAUUUCAGACAGAAGAACAUGUAUUGAAAAUAACCAGUGAUGAUAGAUCAAUCAGAGGCAGAUGAGGUAGAGGUGUAUUCAGAUGAGGACGUGGUAGAGGAAGCGGAAGACUAUCUCUAAACAAAGCAAUUGUUGAGUGCUUUAAAUGUCACAAGUUGGGUCACUUUUAGUAUGAGUGCCCUGACUGGGAGAAGAAGGCCAAUUAUGCGGAGCUGGAGGAAGAAGAAGAACUCUUAUUAAUGGCGUAUGAAGAUAUGUGUCAAUCCACAUAAGAAGAAGCUUGGUUCUUAGACUCCGGCUGCAGCAAUCAUAUGAUGGGAAAUAAAAAAGGUUUUCAGAAAUGAAGGAAGGAUUUUACAUAAUUGUGAAGCUUGGAAAUGAUACAACAAUGAAUGUUAUGGAAAAAGGAAGCAUAUGUGUGCAAAUGAAUGACAUUACUCAGGUAAUAUUUGAUGUUUACUUUGUUUCUGAGCUUAAGAACAAUUUGCUAAGCUUAGGACAACUCCAAGAAAAAGGGUUGGCAAUUUUAAUUCAAAAUGGCACCUGGAAAGUAUUUCAUCCGGGUAAAGGUUUAAUUAUGCACACUAAUAUGAAGGGAAAUAGGAUGUUCUAUUUGACAGCAUCUGCAACACCAAACAAAAAUUCCACGUGUCUAUAACCUGAAACGGUGCCGGAGAAAGAAACUCAAUUGUGGCAUUGUCGCUUUGGACACCUUAACUACAAGGGGCUCAAUACACUUUCGGGCAAGAAGAUGGUCAUUGGAUUACCUUCCCUGAAGUCUCCAAAGAAGAUAUGCACUACAUGCCUAAUUGGAAAACAACAUAGAGAGUCAAUACCAAAGAAAAGCUCAUGGAGGGCCUCGAAAAAGCUUCAGCUAGUUCAUGCUGAUAUUUAUGGUCCGAUCACGCCAUCUUCAAACAGUAACAAGAGAUAUAUGUUAAGCUUUAUUGAUUACUUUACUCGUAAAUCUUGGAUUUAUUUCUUACAUGAAAAUCAGAAGCAUUUGGUAUGUUCAAAAUUUUCAAGGCAUAUGUUGAGAAAGAAGUGUGUGCACUUAUCACUUGUUUAAGGACUGAUAGAGGUGGUGAAUUUACCUCGAAUGAGUUUGAAGAAUUCUGUAAGGAUCAAGGAAUCUGUAGGCAAUUGACGGCUGCAUAUACUCCUCAAUAAAAUGGAAUCGCUGAGAGAAAAAACAGGACGAUCAUGAAUGCAGUAAGAGUUGUACUGAAUGAGAGACAAGUUCCGAGAAUAUUUUGGCCUGAAGGUGUUAGAUGGUGUGUUCACGUACAAAAUAGAAGUCCAACUUCAGCAGUAGAUCAGAGAACCCCUGAAGAAGCAUGAACUGGUCUAAGACCAAGAGUUGACUAUUUUCGGAUUUUUGGAUGCGUAGCUCAUGCUCAUGUACCAGACCAAAAGAGAAGCAAGUUAGACGACAAAAGAAAAAGGUGUGUAUUUUUGGGAGUUAGUGAUGAGUUUAAAGCUUACAAAUUAUUAGAUCCUAUUGCAAAGAAAGUCAUUAUGAACAGAGAUGUAGUGUUUGAAGAAGAAAAGAGUUGGGACUGGGGAAGAACUGAAGAAGAAUGCAAAGCUGAUGUUCUAGAUUGGGAAGAAGAAUAAAAUGAAGAAGGUAGUGAAGACCAAGGACCUGCACAAAAUGAUGAACAAAACAGUGCUGAUAUCAAUCAAGAUGCAUCCUCAAGUAGUUUAAACGAGACCGGGUCAUGGGAAAUGAAACAAAUGAUGUUGAACAAGACUUUUUAGAGAGGGCAGCAAGGAAUAGAAGAAAACCAGUUUGGAUGGAAGAUUAUGAAGAGGGAACAAAUCUUUCCGAGGAAGAAGAAAUUUUAAUGGUGAUGAUGAUGGUUGAAAAUGGAAGUGAUCCUUACCUCUUCGAAGAAGCAUUCAAGAGCAAGAAGUGGAGAGAAGCAAUGAACAUGGAGAUGAAGGCAAUAGAAAAGAACAAGAUAUGGGAGCUAACUGAUGCACCAAAAGGAGUUAAGCCUAUUGGAGUUAAAUGGAUUUUCAAAACCAAGCUCAAUGAAAUUGGGAAAGUUGAAAAGUUUAAGGCGGUAUUGGUAGCAAAAGGAUAUGCACAACGGUAUGGAGUGGAUUAUACGGAAGUAUUUGCACCAGUCGCAAGACUCGACACUAUACGGGUACUAUUAGCUUUGACAGCUCAACGUGGAUGGGAAGUAUAUCAACUUGACGUGAAAAGCACUUUUCUUCACGGUGAGCUCAAGGAGUAAGUAUUUGUACAAUAGCCUGAAGGAUUUGUUAAGAAAGGAGAAGAAGACAAAGUCUACAAGUUGAAGAAAGCAUUAUAUGGCCUUAAACAAGCACCGAGAGCUUGGUACAGCAAAAUUGAGGCAUACUUUGAAAAAGAAAAAUUUGAAAGGUGCUCCAGUGAACACACUUUGUUCACCAAGAAAAAUGAAGGUAACAUUUUGAUAGUUAGUCUUUAUGUUGAUCAUUUGAUCUUUACUCGAAAUAAUAGAAGCAUGUGUGAUGAAUUUAAAAGCUCAAUGAAGUUAGAUUUUGACAUGACUGACUUGGGAAAGAUGAGACAUUUUCUUGGAAUAGAAGUGAUACAAUACGAAGCUGGGAUAUUUAUUUAUCAAAGAAGAUAUGCUCAAGAAGUUCUAGCAAGGUUCAAUAUGGGAAGCAGCAACUCAGUAAGGAAUCCAAUUGUUCCAGGAACAAUUUUAUCAAAAGAUGAGGAUGGCACUGAAGUAGAUGCUACGAUGUUCAAACAAGUCAUUGGAAGCCUCGUGUAUCUAACGGUAACUCGACCAUAUUUGAUGUUCGGGGUGAGUUUGAUGAGCAGGUUCAUGGCAAAUCCAAAAGAAUCACAUUGGGCUGCUACAAAAAGACUCUUAAUAUAUCUAAAAGGAACCACGGAGCACGAAAUAUUCUAUAAGAAUGAAGGAAGAAAAAUAAGUCUUAUAGCUUAUUCUGACAGUAAUUACGCAGAAGAUUUAGAUGAUCGAAGAAGCACUUUUGGUUUAGUGUUUAUGAUAGGGUCUAGAGCUGUUUCAUGGGCUUCGAAAAAACAACCUGUUGUGAGCCUAUCUACCACUGAGACAGAAUAUAUUACUGCAGCACUUUGUGCUUGUCAAUGUAUUUGGCUUAGAAGAAUCUUGGAGCAACUUGGAGCUGAAGAAAAGGAAGAAACUGUGAUUUUAUGUGACAACAGUUCCAUUAUUCAAUUGUCCCAAAAUCCAGUUUUUCAUGACAGAAGUAAGCAUAUUGCAGUAAGGUUUCAUUUUCUCAGAGACUUGGUAAAUGAUGAAGUGGUGAGACUGAGUUUUUGCUGCUCUGAAGAACAAGCUGCACAUAUAAUGACAAAGCCAUUGAAGCUCGAGCAGUUUGAGAAGCUUCGAAGCAUGCUUGGAGUAAUGAAGAUCACAGAAGUAAGCUAAUCACAGAGGCAUUAGCUUAAGGGAAGGAAUGUUAGUUAAAGUUAUUUUUUAAUUCAGUCCACGUUUACUAAUAAAUCCUAGUCCUAAGGGAAGUUAGAUUCUUUAAGAAGAAGUCCUAUAUUUUAGGAUCAGUUUCUUUUAUUCCUAUUUUAUUGCCAUGCAGUACUGGCUUUUGACUAAUUCCAUUUGUAAAGGUUAUAUAAGUCUGCUUUCAAUUUCUAAUGAAAAACACAACUUUCCUCUCAAUGUUUCUAUUAUUUCUAGUUCUUACAAAUGACACUUCAUCUUUAACUCUUAAACAAAAUAUUUGUGAUAUACUUUCUAUACACAACUUUAAUAUGUCUAACAUUCGUGGUCAAGAGUAUAAUAGUGUUAGAAAUAUGAGAGAAGAAUGGAAAGUUUACAAGAAUUAUUUUUGAAAGAUUGUACUUGUGCAUAUUAUAUUUAUUGUUUUUCUCAUCGAUUACAACUUGUCUUGGUUACUGCAGUUGGAGAAGUUAAAUCAAUUCAUAAAUUAUUUGAGAACCUGACUUUUAUUAUCAAUGUUGUUUGUUCUUCUAUAAGGUGCCACAAUAAGUUACAAGCUUCCCAACUAGAUGAAAUUGAAUAUUUGUUAGACAUUGGUGUGAUUAUAACUAGUAAAGGUAAAAAAAAUUGGUACUUUUAGAUGAGCUAGGGAUAUUCGUUAUGGAUCACAUUUCUCUUAAAAGACUCAACUAAAACUCUCAUAUAGAGAAAAUAUUUUCUCUUCAGGUCUGAGUCUUCAAAAGGGACAUUGCCUCCUUAAAUAGCUACACAAACUCCAGCUUGAAAGCCCAGUAGGGUUUGGAUUUGAAAGUGUUUAAAUAUUCAAAAAAAUACAUGAGAUCAAUUUUCAAUAGCAUUGAUGGUAAAUCUUGAUAUAUCAAAACUAGAAAAAUUCUUAAUCUCUUGAUUAUAACAAAUUCAACCUUACUUAAUUUAAUUCAGAUUAAAUCGUUAUUUAAACCAAAAAAUAUGCAUAAUCAAUCAAAUACUUAUUAUGAUGAUUGAGAUCCUUAAUUGAUAUAAAUCUUGAACAAAUAAGAACACCAAAUUCAAUAUUGCUAAAAACAAAUAUAAGAUAAAUCUUUUCCAACUCCAAAUAUAUGCUAACACACUCAUAUCUCUAAUUGGACAAAAAAUGAAACAAAUCUCAAAAGCGCAAGAUAUAAUUCAAAAAAUCUUUUCAAGUGUUCUUCAUUAUUCAAGUGUUUUGAAACUUUGCAUAUUUUCAAAAACUACAAGAGUUUCAAAAGAUAAUAUGAGUAAUUAAGUGUUAUCAAUUUGAAUUGUGAUAUUGUAAAGAAAAUUCCACAAUCUAAGUUUGGAUUUGGAAAUUAAGUCAUCUACAAUUAUACUUCAAUUUCUCAAUAAUGUUUAAAGUAAUACUUGUUCAUGAUAGUGUUUGGUGAAAGGUACUUGUAAGAAAGUGAUGUAUUUUUUUGUGUAUGUGUUAGAAGUUUGUGUAAGAAAGGUCUUGGUGUGAGAAUUAUAAAAAAAAAUUAAACGUCAGUAAAAAAGUUAUCUAAGGAGAUAAUGGGAUUGAACUAUCCUUCAUUCAAAAAAGAUGAAUCAAGAUAAUCCUAAUGCUCUCUUUACUUUUCGCACUUUAAUUUUUUACACUUUAAUUUAUAAACAAGUUAAAUAAAUAUAACAUCAUUCUCAAAAAUUAAGAGUCUAAGCGGGAAAAAUCCGACAAUUCUAAUUCACCCCCUAGGUUGCAUGUAAUAAUUACAUUUCGCAUGAGAGCGAGAGUUAGGUAAAUUAUUCCUAUAUCCAGUAUAAAUGUUUGCCUCUAAAUCCUUUUAGUUGAAGGUUCUAAUAUAAACAAGCCACUUUGCAUGUUACGAUUUCUGAAAAAUUAGAAUGCAAAUAUUCAUUCAUUAUGUAAAAGUUUGGAAUACGGUUGAAGAAUGACCCUUCAUACCUACUAUUAUUGCUGAUGUUUUAGAACAACCAAAGUUUAAAAAUGCAUGACGUGAAGAUGAUAAAAAGAAAAUUCAGUAUGACAAAAAGGUGGCCUCAAUUAUGAAAGUUAUGGAGUUGGCGAAGGAAAAAGGUUGGCAAAAUGUUUGGAACAUAUUUAAAAUUAAACCAUCUAUAUUUCUUAGGUCCAUAGUAUUAGAUAUUCUUUAUUUCUGCAUACAAGUGCUAUUUUAGGGUUUAGAGUGGUUCACUAUCAUAAUUGCAAUAAUUUCUUCUCUCAAGACAUUCACCUAAAAAAAUUGGCAAAGAAAUCCAUCGUGAUGAUCUCGGACAAUAGCCCAUUCCACCAAUUUCCUAUUUAUGUGACAGUGGUCCGUGUUUAUUAUUAUCCAUCUAAUUUUUGAUUUCCUCAUCUAUAUUACCAUUAUGACUUUUUAUUCGGAUUACACUAUUAUAAAUCACCACGAAUUAUCUUAAACAUCGUACUAAAAUUAAGUUUGUAAAAUAAAUAAAUAGAGAAAAACACCUAGAGUAUCUUUAAUGAGAGAAUGAGAGAACUAAAUUUUUAUUGUUUGAGUUAUUUUGUGUGUGACCAAUUACUACAUUUUAUUUAAGUAAUAUUUAAGCAAUCUAAAUUAAUUUUAUUUGGAUUUCAAUAAACAAUUUAUAUGUAACCCAAUCAAUUUAUAUUUGGUUCCAACACUUAUCAAGAUUAAUAUUAUUCAACUAUAAAUAAUACCAUUUUUGCAUUGUUUCAUGAAAUAAUUUACACAAAAAUUUAAAUAAGGAGAAUGAUAAAUGCAUCUACUUUAAUAAUAAAAAUAUUAAUCUUUGAAAGUUAAAAGUUAAGUAUGCAUUAAGCAACCUUCGUUUAAGUGAUAAAAGUUUUUGAACUUUUUUUAAUUCUCCCCACAAUUAGAAUAAAAAAAAUCUAAUGACAUAAGACAAAAUGGUUUUCCUAAUCUAAGGACAUUCUCAACUUUUCUCUUUUUCACUCCAAUUAAGCAAUGGAAGAGAGAAAUUAAAAUAUAUAAAAAAAAUGACACGCAUGGUUUCUUAUGUCCUUGUACUAAAUAUUUGAAAGCCACAAAACCCAAUAUUUGAGAUUUUACAGAAAUGGAAACAAAGAAACCAUAUAUUUAUUGAUGGAUUGCAACCACUUACUUUCAUUUUAAUUUAGGUAUAAUAGCCAUUCAAAGUGUGUUAUUAACUUAUUACAUAAGUAUAUGCGGUUAUUAAAAUACUUUGCAAUAAUUUAAAUAAGAGACUAAACUAAAUAACUUCAAAGACAAAAUCAGUAAAAACAAACACUUAACCCUGCAGUUUGGCUAAAACCAAACUGCAUAUAUGGGCAAGUAGUAACUUUUAUUUCAUUAAUUAUUUCCAUGCACAUAAUAUAAAACAAACCCUAAUGGAAUUUGUUUCAUCACUUGCAUGGUAUACUAACAUAGUUAGUUACAUUUUUCAUAGCAGAAAUCAGUGAUAUCAAUGCAACGACACUGUGGUGGAAGAGACCUUGUGCAAAUGCAAGUUUUGCAAGCUGAGUGACAUGUUUCUCCAAUAUCAUUACAACGACACCGAGGAGGGAUUGAUCUUGUGCAAAGGCAGGAAUCACAGCAUGCUUUGUUACUUGCACCACCAUUGGAGAGAAGUUGAGUGAUGAAGGAAUUUGAAUCGAAACGAGCAUCAACAACAGUUGCGGUGAAGCCCAAGAGAAAAAGCACCAAAGCUAAUUUCAUCAUUGCCUUCUUGUUCAUCAACACCAUUAUUACUAUUCUCUUUCUCUUGCUUUCUAUUUUUCUAUUUUGAUUCGUGUUUUUGGUGUAUCUUUCUUUGCAACUACAUAGGUCUAUUUAUAUAGAGGUUUUUUUUUCUUUUCAUUAUUUCAUGUUUUUUUC
This 12493-nucleotide long non-coding RNA is filed under the name Lathyrus oleraceus (garden pea). RNAcentral describes it as "Pisum sativum (pea) long non-coding RNA (PSAT_LNC010331)". The record is from RNAcentral. Lineage: Eukaryota; Viridiplantae; Streptophyta; Magnoliopsida; Fabales; Fabaceae.